UCCCCUAGUAACUGCGAGUGAAGCGGGUAUGAGCUCAAAUUUUGAAUCUGGCGGCUUCGUCGGNCGUCCGAGUUGUAAUCUAGAGAAGCGUCUUCCGCGCUGGACCGUGUACAAGUCUCCUGGAACGGAGCGUCGCAGAGGGUGAGAAUCCCGUCUAUGACACGGACUGCCAGGGCCUCGUGCGAUGCGCUCUCGACGAGUCGAGUUGUUUGGGAAUGCAGCUCAAAUCGGGUGGUAAAUUCCAUCUAAAGCUAAAUACGGGCGAGAGACCGAUAGCGAACAAGUACCGUGAGGGAAAGAUGAAAAGAACUUUGGAAAGAGAGUUAAACAGUACGUGAAAUUGCUGAAAGGGAAACGCUCCGAGUCAGUCGCGUCAGCCGGGGAUCAGUCCUGCGGGCGAUCUCGCUCGCGGAGGCGCAUUCCUCGGUCGACGGGUCAGCGUCGGUUUUGGCCGUCGCACAAGGGUCGGGGCGCAUGUGGCAUCCCCAGGGGUGUGUUAUAGCCCCCGAUCGCAUGCGGCGAUUGGGACCGAGGAUCGCAGCGCGGGUCUCCCUUCGCGGGGAGGCCGCGAGGCCCCCACGGGGGCCUACGACCGCGCGCUUAGGACGCUGGCAUAAUGUCUCCGAGCGACCCGUCUUGAAACACGGACCAAGGAGUCUAACGCGCGCGCGAGUGUUCGGGUGCUUCAAACCCGAGCGCGCAGCGAAAACGAAAGUCGAGACCUCCGUCGCGGAGGGCACCGACGCCCGGACCCAAGCCUUGCGCGAGGGAUCUGCGGUCGAGCGCGUGCGUUGGGACCCGAAAGAUGGUGAACUAUGCCUGAAUAGGGCGAAGCCAGAGGAAACUCUGGUGGAGGCUCGCAGCGAUUCUGACGUGCAAAUCGAUCGUCGAA
This 892-nucleotide ribosomal RNA is filed under the name Serpula similis. RNAcentral's name for it is "LSU rRNA". It matches the Rfam family "Eukaryotic large subunit ribosomal RNA", at positions 76 to 909 of the family's 3401-position model. The record is from RNAcentral. Lineage: Eukaryota; Fungi; Basidiomycota; Agaricomycetes; Boletales; Serpulaceae.